UACAGAGGGUGCAAGCGUUGUUCGGAAUUAUUGGGCGUAAAGCGCGUGUAGGCGGCUUUGCAAGUCGGGUGUGAAAGCCCUCAGCUCAACUGAGGAAGUGCGCCCGAAACUGCAGAGCUUGAGUGCCGGAGAGGGUGGCGGAAUUCCCCAAGUAGAGGUGAAAUUCGUAGAUAUGGGGAGGAACACCGGUGGCGAAGGCGACAUCCUGGACCGGUAUUGACGCUGAGGCGCGAAAGCCAGGGGAGCAAACGGG
Molecule: ribosomal RNA, 253 nt
Filed under: uncultured bacterium
Lineage: Bacteria
Description: partial 16S ribosomal RNA
Rfam family: Bacterial small subunit ribosomal RNA
Source: RNAcentral